This 746-nucleotide long non-coding RNA is filed under the name Marmota monax (woodchuck). The record is from RNAcentral. Lineage: Eukaryota; Metazoa; Chordata; Mammalia; Rodentia; Sciuridae.
AGGAGGGCUGCGGAUGGAGUGUGGGUUCAAAUUCUGCUCCAGGUGUCUCAGUCUCUUGCAUCCUAUUCCCCUGCCCCUGCUCCGACUCUCUCAGCUCUAGGCAAGCAAACCCUUUUGGAAAUUUAUGUAGGAAGAACCAGCAAACUGCUUUGAGGCCGGGGCCAGUUGAACACAAGCCAUUGUGUUGUGAGCAUUGAUGUGGACAGCAUAGAAAAAAUGCACGGCAGGACUCAGAUCUGCCUUAUUGUGCACCUUGCCUGGGCUUUCUACUGUGAAAACCGAAUUCUUGGCUUGGUGUCAAUGAGAACUAGCUCAUACAUUAUCAGAUGUAAGUAACAUCCAGUAGGAUGACAGAAUCCUGGUCUACCAAUUGUCAUUUACAUAAAGUAGGGUUUGUUUAUUGUCAAGAAGCACUGACUGCCUUACUAGUCACCCAAAUCACUCUCAGUAAUGAUGAGACUCAGAGUCAUUUUCAGUAAUUACCUGCCACAUCCUAGAGAUUGCCUGUGCACAUGUGCCCUUCCAGCAAGCAAUGCAAUCAAUUCUAAGUUGGCAGGGGAAACUGAGUCACGGGAUCACAUGGGAACAUCAGCUAGAGACUGAGGAGGUAAGUCGAAUAAGAGAAGACAAUAUAACAUUUAAGUUAAGGCUGCAGCAAGAGUUAAGUGUGGGAAUAGUUCAGGAUUAGUUAACUGGGAGCCUGUGGUAGGUUUGAUGUGUUACACCAAAGAGAGAACGGCCUGUAC